RNAcentral lists this ribosomal RNA (497 nucleotides) under uncultured bacterium. Its description in RNAcentral is "partial 16S ribosomal RNA". It matches the Rfam family "Bacterial small subunit ribosomal RNA", at positions 28 to 507 of the family's 1533-position model. The record is from RNAcentral.
GAUGAACGCUGGCGGCGUGCCUAAUACAUGCAAGUCGAGCGAACGGACGAGAAGCUUGCUUUUCUGAUGUUAGCGGCGGACGGGUGAGUAACACGUGGAUAACCUACCUAUAAGACUGGGAUAACUUCGGGAAACCGGAGCUAAUACCGGAUAAUAUUUUGAACCGCAUGGUUCAAAAGUGAAAGACGGUCCUGCUGUCACUUAUAGCUGGAUCCGCGCUGCAUUAGCUAGUUGGUAAGGUAACGGCUUACCAAGGCAACGAUGCAUAGCCGACCUGAGAGGGUGAUCGGCCACACUGGAACUGAGACACGGUCCAGACUCCUACGGGAGGCAGCAGUAGGGAAUCUUCCGCAAUGGGCGAAAGCCUGACGGAGCAACGCCGCGUGAGUGAUGAAGGUCUUCGGAUCGUAAAACUCUGUUAUUAGGGAAGAACAUAUGUGUAAGUAACUGUGCACAUCUUGACGGUACCUAAUCAGAAAGCCACGGCUAACUACGUG